Molecule: ribosomal RNA, 253 nt
Filed under: uncultured prokaryote
Description: partial 16S ribosomal RNA
Rfam family: Bacterial small subunit ribosomal RNA
Source: RNAcentral
UACGGGGGGGGCAAGCGUUGUUCGGAAUUACUGGGCGUAAAGGGUGCGUAGGCGGUUCCAUAAGUCAGUGGUGAAAUACGGCAGCUCAACUGUCGAGGUGCCAUUGAUACUGCGGAACUUGAGUACUGAUGAGGUAGGCGGAAUUGACGGUGUAGCGGUGAAAUGCUUAGAUAUCGUCAAGAACACCGAUAGCGAAGGCAGCUUACCAAGCAGUAACUGACGCUGAGGCACGAAAGUGCGGGGAUCAAACAGG